RNAcentral lists this ribosomal RNA (468 nucleotides) under uncultured bacterium. RNAcentral describes it as "partial 16S ribosomal RNA". It matches the Rfam family "Bacterial small subunit ribosomal RNA", at positions 28 to 507 of the family's 1533-position model. The record is from RNAcentral.
GACGAACGCUGGCGGCGUGCUUAACACAUGCAAGUCGAACGGAAAGGCCCUGCUUGUGUGGGGUGCUCGAUUGGCGAACGGGGGAGUAACACGUGAGUAACCUGCCCUUGACUUUGGGAUAACUUCAGGAAACGGGGGCUAAUACCGGAUAGGAUCUCCUGCUGCAUGGUGGGCGUGGGAAAGUCUCGGCGGUCGGGGAUGGACGCGCGGCUUACGAGCUUGUUGGUGGGGUAGUGGCUUACCAAGGCAUGGACGGGUAGCCGGCCUGAGAGGGUGACCGGCCACAUUGGUCCUGCGGUACGCAGCAGUCUCCUACGGGAGGCAGAGGUCGCGAGUAUUGCACAGUGAGCCGGAGCGUGAUGCAACGACGCCCCGUGCGUGAUGCCCGCCUUCGGGUUGAGAACAGCUUUCGCCUGAGACGAAGCGUGAGUGACGGUAAUGAAUAAAGAAGCACCGGCUAACUACGUG